GACGAACGCUGGCGGCGUGCCUAAUACAUGCAAGUCGAACGAAGCUGUUUUAACUGGUGCUUGCACCGACUUAAACAACUGAGUGGCGAACAGGUGAGUAACACGUGGGUAACCUGCCCCAAAGCGGGGGAUAACAUUUGGAAACAGAUGCUAAUACCGCAUAACCACAGAAACCACAUGGUUUCUGUGUCAAAGAUGGUUUCGGCUAUCACUUUGGGAUGGACCCGCGGCGUAUUAGCUAGUUGGUAAGGUAAUGGCUUACCAAGGCAAUGAUACGUAGCCGAACUGAGAGGUUGAUCAGCCACAUUGGGACUGAGACACGGCCCAAACUCCUACGGGAGGCAGCAGUAGGGAAUCUUCCACAAUGGACGAAAGUCUGAUGGAGCAACGCCGCGUGAGUGAAGAAGGUUUUCGGAUCGUAAAACUCUGUUGUCAGAGAAGAACGUGUGCGAGAGUAACUGCUCGUGCAGUGACGGUAUCUGGCCAGAAAGCCACGGCUAACUACGUGCCAGCCGCCGCGGUAA
Molecule: ribosomal RNA, 524 nt
Filed under: uncultured bacterium
Lineage: Bacteria
Description: partial 16S ribosomal RNA
Rfam family: Bacterial small subunit ribosomal RNA
Source: RNAcentral